Molecule: long non-coding RNA, 536 nt
Organism: Sardina pilchardus (European sardine)
Lineage: Eukaryota; Metazoa; Chordata; Actinopteri; Clupeiformes; Clupeidae
Exons: 3
Source: RefSeq, a predicted model, not a curated record
UUUGCUAGGAAGAUGUUCAAGGGAGUUCUAGCCCUUGAACUUGUUGCUGUAUUUGGAGUGUAUGCUUUAUAUCAUGCGAUGAACUCUAGUCGAGAUUUCAGGAGUACAAUGAACAGAAGAUUUCCAUCCAUUUUGGACGGAUCAAGCUAAGGCAGUCCUUACCGAUGAAAGAAGAUCACAUCCACAGGAAUUUGAGUCUCAUCUUUGGCAAGGAACUCCUCACCAUUCACUGAAGAUCACAAAAAGAGAAUGCUUAGCUCUGAACCCAAAAGCUGGUGACGUGACAACUCUACUGUUAUGCCAACACCUAACAUGGGAGAACUCACCUGGCAGAGAGCGAACAUUGUUCAUGGAUUGCCUGUGCUUAGGUUUCAUCACUACGGCAUCUGUGUUUUCUGUUGAACACAAAAAGACAAGUUGAUGCAAGCCAUUUUCAGAGCCAAUGUUUGCAUUUAAGCAUGAAUGUGUACUUAAACAUUUAUUCAUGUUACAUUUAUUCAUUUGGCAGGUACUUUUAUCCAAAGUGACUUACAGCA